GGAUUCCCCUAGUAACUGCGAGUGAAGCGGGAAAAGCUCAAAUUUGAAAUCUGGCAGUCUCUGACUGUCCGAGUUGUAAUCUAGAGAAGUGUUGCCAGUGCUGGACCGUGUACAAGUCUCCUGGAAUGGAGCAUCAUAGAGGGUGAGAAUCCCGUCUUUGACAUGGACUACCAGUGUGUUAUGGUAUGCUCUCAAAGAGUCGAGUUGUUUGGGAAUGCAGCUCAAAAUGGGUGGUAAAUGCCAUCUAAAGCUAAAUAUUGGCGAGAGACCGAUAGCGAACAAGUACCGUGAGGGAAAGAUGAAAAGAACUUUGGAAAGAGAGUUAAACAGUACGUGAAAUUGCUGAAAGGGAAACGCUUGAAGUCAGUCAUGUUGGCUAGAAAUCAGCCUUGCUUUUGCUUGGUGUAUUUUCUAGUCCUACGGGUCAGCAUCAAUUUUGAUCAUUGGAUAAAGUCUUUGGGAAUGUGGCAUCUUUUGGAUGUGUUAUAGCCCAUUGUCGCAUACAGUGAUUGGGAUUGAGGAACUCAGCAUGCCGCAAGGCCGGGUCUUUUGACCACGCUCGUGCUUAGGAUGCUGGCAUAAUGGCUUUAAUCGACCCGUCUUGAAACACGGACCAAGGAGUCUAACAUGCCUGCGAGUGUUUGGGUGGAAAACCCAUGCGCGUAAUGAAAGUGAAAGUUGAGAUCUCUUUGGAGAGCAUUGACGCCCAGACCAGACCUUUUGUGACGGAUCUGCGGUAGAGCAUGUAUGUUGGGACCCGAAAGAUGGUGAACUAUGCCUGAAUAGGGUGAAGCCAGAGGAAACUCUGGUGGAGGCUCGUAGCGAUUCUGACGUGCAAAUCGAUCGUCAAAUUUGGGUAUAGGGGCGAAAGACUAAUCGA
Molecule: ribosomal RNA, 880 nt
Filed under: Inocybe calospora
Lineage: Eukaryota; Fungi; Basidiomycota; Agaricomycetes; Agaricales; Inocybaceae
Description: LSU rRNA
Rfam family: Eukaryotic large subunit ribosomal RNA
Source: RNAcentral